UGCGUAGGCGGCCCUAUAAGUAUGGUGUGAAAUCUCCCGGCUUAACUGGGAGGGUGCGCUAUAGACUGUGGGGCUAGAGUGUGGGAGAGGAAAGUGGAAUUCCUGGUGUAGCGGUGAAAUGCGUAGAUAUCAGGAGGAACACCGGUGGUGUAAACGGCUUUCUGGACCAUAACUGACGCUGAGGCACGAAAGCGUGGGUAGCAAACAGGAUUAGAUACCCUGGUAGUCCACGCCCUAAACGAUGCAUAUUUGGUGUGGGUCAUUCAGUUGAUCCGUGCCGGAGCUAACGCGUUAAAUAUGCCGCCUGGGGAGUACAGUCGCAAGGCUGAA
Molecule: ribosomal RNA, 330 nt
Filed under: uncultured bacterium
Lineage: Bacteria
Description: bacterial SSU rRNA
Rfam family: Bacterial small subunit ribosomal RNA
Source: RNAcentral